UACGUAGGGUGCAAGCGUUAAUCGGAAUUACUGGGCGUAAAGCGUGCGCAGGCGGUUUUGUAAGUCUGUCGUGAAAGCCCCGGGCUCAACCUGGGAAUUGCGAUGGAGACUGCAAGGCUUGAAUCUGGCAGAGGGGGGUAGAAUUCCACGUGUAGCAGUGAAAUGCGUAGAGAUGUGGAGGAACACCGAUGGCGAAGGCAGC
RNAcentral lists this ribosomal RNA (202 nucleotides) under uncultured bacterium. RNAcentral describes it as "partial 16S ribosomal RNA". It matches the Rfam family "Bacterial small subunit ribosomal RNA", at positions 524 to 725 of the family's 1533-position model. The record is from RNAcentral.